AAAAUGCAGGGAUGACACAUCCGUUUCAAGAGAAAAAAAUGUGAGCAAUUAUGAUUCCUGAUCUCACUGAGUUCGUGCAAGCUGUACAGAGAAACUCCACAUAAAACUUGUAGUCGAGUAGUUGUAGUGCAACCUUCAUUGUUUGGCCGACGGCUAUAAUAUUAUUAUGAAAGACAAUGAUCACCCUACAAAAUUAUCUUUCCUGAUUAUUUGUCACAGUACUAUAGCUAAUCAUCCUAAAAGUUCUUUUCAAAAUUCAGGUUGACUCUCAAACAUCCACAAUGAAAACUCAGGUUGACAUUGAAACUUGUACUCAAUUUUCUUGCUUACAGCAGCAAGCAUCAGGGGCAUCAUGAGAUUCAAUAAGAACAGCUUUGGCUUCGACCUAUUUGAUCAAACAGAGUAAAUCAUGUCACUACCAGGAUCAGACUUCAUGAGUUUAUAAUGGCAUCCCACACUGUACUUUUCUGAAUCAUGUGUAUGCAAGGAAUCUCUUAAAUGCUCUCCCUCCGAUCCAAAAUAAGUGUCGUGGUUUUUGAACUAAAACAACGACACUUAAUUUUGAUCGGAAGGAGUAUAAUACACAGGUCCAGAAUAGGCUGAUGCCACAUUACUCACCCUCACUGCACACUGGACACCGGCUCAUGUCUGAGUUAUCCCAUGAUCUCAUAGGUAUGCAACAGUCUAGGCAGAAAAUAUAGUUUGAAUUGGAUGUCAGGGUGAUGUAAAAAAUGCAGACCGUUUUUGUAUGUCUACAAAAAUAUGUUCAAUUCAUUUUUUUACUGAAACCUUGACUGAGCAAAGUGAAACAACAUCAUAUAAUGUGGUAGCCAAAUCUACACAAGAUGUAGCCUGCAGAUAUGGUACCAUGAACUGCACAAACAAAACAGACUGAACGGUUCAAAAAUUGCAUCAAAACUGUUUCACAAUUAACAUAUUCAGCAAAGGCUAAACAUCCUUGACUUACAAACCAAAAAAUGGAACAAAAAUGCUGUGUUGCCUACACCUUUAUCAACUAAACUGCUUACUCAUUUGUUCACCACAUAGAAGCAGGUAAUAAUCUCCUACAAGAGUACACCUUUAUCAACUAUCUCCUACUCAUACAUCAAGCUUUCAAAGUAUAUCUAAUUUUCAGGUCUGGACAGAUUCAACCAACUGAGAGCAUAUCACCCUUUUUGGUUCAAAUUAAAUGGCCCAAUCUUCCAUCACAUUUACAUCGGGCUUAGAGUUUAGAACAGACUUACAGUUGGAUAAUGCAAUACAACGAUACCUGUAGAAUAAUAGUGCAAUACCUGUAGUUAAAUCCAUCAGUUUUGGCACAUUCGUAGAAACACGUUUCUCUGCUGCUCUGCAAUCAUUUGUUAACACACAUUUUGUCAGUAUGAGCAACCAACAUCAGCUAAAAGGAACCAUACAAAUGAAGGUACCACAACUCUCUAAUGUAAACAGUUCAUAGCAGAAUACGCACAGCGCCAUGAGCAGAUGUUGAAAGCGCAAGAUCUUAUACAGAAGGUUUUAACCGUGUAAUGUUGAAAAGAAUAAGAUAUUAACAGUAUGUUGUAGAAAGAACAAUAUGCCGCAGAAUAAUGCCGUAAACUUAAAUACUAAACUUUUAAAAAAAUCAUUAGAAAGAACAGCACGCCGUAGAAAAAUAAUGCAAUACAUAUAAACAACCUAGCCACUCCAACUUAAAAAGAAUCAAGUUCCAACUGCACAACUCAUAUGACCAUUACAGAACCACUUUUCAGUACCACCAUUCUGGCCUUACCGUUACAUGGCAACCAAACUAAUCCUCAUUUAUUUUAGAAGAAACCAACUAUUCUACUGAUCCUUCGUAGGCACAACUCAAUUAACCGGUUGAUUAGCCAAGCAUUUUGUGCCUGAUGCAAUCUUCAAGUAUAUACUGUAACCAACUUAUUUGUUGAUACUAAGAGAUGUAAAAAGAAGCUAGAGUAGCCAAGGUUUAGAUGUUGUACUAGUCAGCAAAUCUGCACUGCUCUGCUUGGAAGAGCGUCAGAUGGAUCCAGCCAUCAUUGGCCAGAGACGCGCCAAAGUAGAACCUUACACAUUACAACCCUUUUUCAUCUCCUCUCACCUCCUCGGAUAUCAAAAAUAUUGCGUAUUUAAAUUUCUUCUUUAGCAAUGUAAAGCAUAAGGAAAGCUCGAUGAGAAUUUAAUAACUUCCCAGAAAUAAAUAAGUGACAACUAAACGAGGCACAUAGCCAAGGCAAAGACUUCAUGAUUUGUAUGCCUUCUUUUCACUAACGGUGAUGCUUACUUUAGUGUAGCCCGAGUGAAAAAGAAAAUAAACUUGUGCCUUAUCGAUCAAAAUGUCACUACCUAGACUAAUGGUCCAAACAAAAUCACCUCUAUGGACAAAAGAACCAAUGGAUAAUUGGCUGUAAUGUGUAUGAUGAAUCAUGCAUAUCUGGCUCUAUAUUAGCAUGUCAGGGAAAAAAUCAAGAGAUUAAGCCAAUAUAUCAGGGGACAAGAUGCAUCUUUCACAUCUCAGAUAAAAAACAUCACCAGUAAAAUGUUUGUCGUUGGUUCAGUUUUCCUGACUUACCCAAGUGCUUGUAUAGUUGAAAAAUAUAUCAUACCUGAAUACAAUGAAACAGCAAGAAGCAAACAGUAAGAAACUUGAAAUGGUGUAGCAAGUACUACAGCAAACCGAAUAGGAACAGACCAAAUAUAAACAAAGUGCCAUGCCCUUUUCCUUAUGGUGGUGUUCCUUAGUGUAACAUACAAACCAACCACGUCACCUAUUUUUGUGCUACAUAUAGACUGAAACCAAGCAAGAUAAUGUAACCUGACAAGAAGUAUAGUAUAGCCGAUUUAGAAAUUGAGAACUGGCCAUUCCAAACAAAAACAACAUUGCUGAUGCUGCAAAAAUGGAUAAUCCAGCUCCAAAUAGUGAUGCCUCCAUCAAUCAAAUCCCUAGGAACUUUCCUGCAGAUAGCAACACAAAAAAACAAAUCUCAGAACACAGUACCACUCAGUAGAAAUCCAAAAACUGCAUUGGGCAAUGCCAUCAAAAAAGUCACCCCACCGACCAUCAUUACACCAUACUGUAAAUUUUGCAUUUUCAGUGUUACGAUCGCUCAUAUAUAUAUCAUCUACACUGCAGUUCUCCAGAAAUAGACCGAGUUAACUAUUCUGUUCUACAAAAAUAUCUAAAUCACCACUGCCGAGUAUCCACGCUCGAACUAAAACAUCAAUUCAUAUCUAAACCCCAAAUAGAGAUAGUAAUCCGACGAAACCAAAACACCGCAUUCACCAAAUAUGGAGAUCUGAAGAUCGGAAGGGAGGCGAAUAUUUCCUCUUAGGAGUUUCAUACCUCUAGUUCUUCUGGUUCAUAGAUGUAAUGUGACUUUCGGGAUGUGAGAAAUAAGGAAUUAAAAUGCAUUAUGUGCAAGGCAGUACAACUCCUCUCCUCUAAUUAUAAUAUGGAUAUACUGCAUAACAAAGGAAACCUUAUUUAGAGCUACAGCUAGGAAAUUAAAACUCCAAUUGACCACUGAACCUUACAACAUAGGCCUUAAGUACAGGGAGACAGAUAAAUAAUGGAUCUAUUAAGAUGGUUCAUGUACAAUUAGUUGAAUAUAUAGUAACAUAAACGCCAAGUGCAACUGCGCAAGCUUUUAUCUACCAAUCACAAAAAUACA
This 3665-nucleotide long non-coding RNA is filed under the name Triticum aestivum (bread wheat). RNAcentral's name for it is "long non-coding RNA (TAES_LNC003226)". The record is from RNAcentral. Lineage: Eukaryota; Viridiplantae; Streptophyta; Magnoliopsida; Poales; Poaceae.